Molecule: long non-coding RNA, 2156 nt
Filed under: Lactuca sativa (garden lettuce)
Lineage: Eukaryota; Viridiplantae; Streptophyta; Magnoliopsida; Asterales; Asteraceae
Description: long non-coding RNA (LSAT_LNC000654)
Source: RNAcentral
AAAUAACCAUAACAAGUCACAAAAAUAUAUAUGAAUAUCACUAAUAAUCGUGACAUAUAAAAAGAAUCAUUGAUCACUUGGUUAUCCAAGUUGAAAGUAUUUACCAUUGUCAUGAUGACUUUCAGAUGGGGAUCUAUGAAUUCCUAGAGGAGAAUUAUUAGGAUCCAUAGAAAAGUUAUCAAGAACCUGCAACAAAUUUAGAAUAAUAUUGUCACUAAAAUGAAAUUUAUCAUUACUCAUUUCCCAUGUCAUAGAUUUUAUAGUGUGAAUUCAACCCAUCUUUUGAAUUCCUUCUAAAAAAUGGAUAAAAAACAGCAGAAAGAAACAAGGAGUAUACAUGUAACAGAUUCUUAAAGAGACUAUUUCUGUAACAUGGACAAUUUCUGUAACAAAUUCUUUAAGGAACCAUUUUAGUCAUUUUUUCCAGCAACAUGGACCAUUUUUGUAGUAGUACCUCAAACUAGUCUUUCUAGGACAAUUUUUGUGGCUUCUUGAAUGCAUUCAGAAAAAGAUGCUAUAACCCUUAAAAUAAACCUAUAUAGAUCAAAUGAAAAUAAGAUGCUUUAUAAAGGAUAUUAAUCGGUAAAAACACACUAAAAAAAUUAGUAGCGAUUUGUUAAUGAGAAGUCUAGUCUUUCGGUGGUCAAGCCACAGUCAAAAGACUCAGAUGCAUUAGAACCUAGUGCUAUAUCAGCAACAUCAAAUAGAACUGAAGUAUCAUUAACUACUAACUAGAAAAGAGUUUCUCUACCCUAAAAUAAAGGUCAAAAUCAUUAAGAACUCACAUUAUAUAAUAAAGUACAGAAAGUAAAAACAAUAACUAAGAAAGAUGUAAGAUUGUAUGUCUCUUGAAUUGAAAUUGAUAUUGAUGAAAUUCAUAUAGUUGUAAAAUUACAUUGUAAUCAAUUUAUUAAUUGCAUAGAAAAUUUAUAUUUAACUUCAUGAUAAGUCCUUGGUGCAAUCCUGACAUGUAUAUGCUUUCAUAUGGAUUAAAAAGAUAAAUAUAUCAACAUACAACCACAAACACAAUAAUAUUAACCAAUAAGAAUAACUCUUCUACGGUGAAUUUAUGUCGUAUGUAUGAGCAAAUAUGACAAUUGAUAAAUAUUCUUGCCUUUGUGAUUAUUAUUAAUUAAUUUAAUAACAAACAUGGAAAGUUUUGACCAAAAAGGUCUAACUUUAUAUUAGGCCUACAUUCAUUAGCAUUAGUUAAACAUAAAAACAAAUGGCCACGCACUAAAAUAUGUAGCAUUUAAGAAUUAUUGCAGGAACUUUAUGAUAAUUAUAUGUAGCUCAUGCAAUACUAACAAAAGUAAAUUGCUCCAAAAAUACAAGAACAAAUUCAAACAAAUCAAUUACGAAAAUCAUUAAUCAAACAAAUAAAAUACAAAAACAUAAAUAAAAAUGCAGUAAAAUAUAUCUGAGAAAAAUAUAAGAAAUUAAGAAAAGAAACAUAUAAACCCGAUAAAAUCAAACAAAUCAAAUCUAAAUAAUAAUAUUGAACUUAAAGAUAAUUUGAGAAAUUUACCUGAUUGUAUACAUGUAGAUGCUUGUGAAUUAAGAAUUAGUGGUCAUAAUCCUGCUACGAUUCUUUGAGUUCCAGCAUAAAAAGCAAUCCACUCAACCUACAAAUGAAACUGCAGAGUACUAAUUCACAUAAAAAAAAGCACAACAAUAUGCACUCCCUUCAUAUCUUGCAAUAACAAUGCCAGAAAAAAGAAGAAACACAUGAAUCUCUGAAGAAAAACUAAAACUCCACUAAUCCUCAUUAAUUACGACAUAUAUCUUCUGCCAACACAAAGGUUGUAAAUAAAAUCAAAAGCUCUGAAGAUAGUAAACCCUUAGAACUUUCAAAAAUCAGACACCAAACCAUCUAAUUAACCUAAUUCUUGACUUCGUAAAAAACACAUUAACAAUUACAUCUAAUGACUAAAUCUAAUGAUACCUUCGAAUAUGCAGCUGUAGAAGAACUGAGAGCAUAUGAACGAAGCUAAACCUAUAUGAGAUAGCAAACAGAAGAGUCAUUCCAAGUUGGUCACCGACGUUGGAGGUGACAGCCACGACGAGGUCCCAACGGUGAAGGUUGCUAAUGAGAGGGCGAUGGUGAUCGAGGCGCUGACCAGAGGUGAGCGACGAGGGGAAAAGUUAGAGAGAAU